GACGAACGCUGGCGGCGUGCCUAAUACAUGCAAGUAGAACGCACAGGAUGCACCGUAGUUUACUACACCGUAUUCUGUGAGUUGCGAACGGGUGAGUAACGCGUAGGUAACCUGCCUGGUAGCGGGGGAUAACUAUUGGAAACGAUAGCUAAUACCGCAUAAGAACAUUUACUGCAUGGUAGAUGUUUAAAAGGUGCAAAUGCAUCACUACCAGAUGGACCUGCGUUGUAUUAGCUAGUAGGUGAGGUAACGGCUCACCUAGGCGACGAUACAUAGCCGACCUGAGAGGGUGAUCGGCCACACUGGGACUGAGACACGGCCCAGACUCCUACGGGAGGCAGCAGUAGGGAAUCUUCGGCAAUGGGGGGAACCCUGACCGAGCAACGCCGCGUGAGUGAAGAAGGUUUUCGGAUCGUAAAGCUCUGUUGUUAAGGAAGAACGAGUGUGAGAAUGGAAAGUUCAUAACUGUGACGGACUAACCA
This 482-nucleotide ribosomal RNA is filed under the name Streptococcus intermedius. RNAcentral describes it as "bacterial SSU rRNA". It matches the Rfam family "Bacterial small subunit ribosomal RNA", at positions 28 to 485 of the family's 1533-position model. Lineage: Bacteria; Bacillati; Bacillota; Bacilli; Lactobacillales; Streptococcaceae. The record is from RNAcentral.